Molecule: ribosomal RNA, 494 nt
Filed under: uncultured bacterium
Lineage: Bacteria
Description: partial 16S ribosomal RNA
Rfam family: Bacterial small subunit ribosomal RNA
Source: RNAcentral
GACGAACGCUGGCGGCAUGCCUAAUACAUGCAAGUCGAACGAUGAUAUCACUGCUUGCAGUGAUUGAUUAGUGGCGAACGGGUGAGUAACACGUGAGGAACUUGCCCAUGAGCGGGGGACAACAUUCGGAAACGGAUGCUAAUACCCCAUAGGUGGAUUGGUCGCAUGACGAAUUCAUUAAAGGUGGCUCUGCUACCACUCAUGGAUAGCCUCGCGGCGUAUUAGCUAGUUGGUAAGGUAAUAGCUUACCAAGGCAGUGAUACGUAGCCGACUUGAGAGGGUGAUCGGCCACACUGGGACUGAGACACGGCCCAGACUCCUACGGGAGGCAGCAGUAGGGAAUCUUCCACAAUGGGUGCAAACCUGAUGGAGCAAUGCCGCGUGAGUGAAGAAGGUCUUCGGGUCGUAAAGCUCUGUUGUUAGAGAAGAACACGUGCUAGGUAACUACUAGCGCCUUGACGGUAUCUAACCAGAAAGUCACGGCUAACUACGUG